UCCAAUCAGAAAAGGUUUCCCUGUGUGAGAUUUUCUGUAGGCUGCAGAUCACUUUGCCAGUUCCCAGCUGGGUGUUUCUGAGCAGGAUCAGAGCUGCCAUCUUUUGCAGCCCAUGACAUUUGCAGUGCCUGUGCCUGUGUGGUUUGGGCUGUGGGAGGUGGGAGGUUCCCUGUUGGCAGCAGGAACAGCCAGCAGGGCUGGGAGCAUCUGCAGGAGGGUGGGCAAGGCUGGUGAGCAAAAGCCUGCUCCAAGUCAGCUCAUCCCAACAGGAAAGGCUGCUCUGAGUCACAUUCAAACCACAGGAGGCACUGCCUCCCCGUAGGACCCUUCCCUACCAACCCACCGGGAUGAUGCUCAAGUACAGAACUACCCUCAGACUGCCUCUCUUUCCAGAAAGGCCUGAUUUUAUAAAUGGAGAAGGAUCAGUGGCUGUGGUCAUUUCUGUACAAGACACUAAGGAGAUUAUUCCUCACUGGCUGAUCCUAAUGAGGAAGAGUAAAAUGCUGUUAAGUCUUUGAGUAAAUCUCCUUGCAGAAUAAACCUCUCAUGCGCCAUUUGGAUGGCAGUGGCAGGGAUGUCAUUUGAUGAACUGGAAAUGGGUUGGAAUCUAUAGAUUCCUGAAUUCUAGUGCCACCUGUGACACCAAGAAGAAACAUCAUCUUGGUCAGAUGCAUGAGCACCUCACAGCACUUGAACUUGCCUGCUCUGCUCCCAGGCAAGGAUAACCAGCCAAGGGAUCACUGUGCAAACAGAGCUGUCCUGCCUGCAGUGCUGCAGCAAACCCGUUCAGAGCUGCCUCCCAUCGCAGGGUGUGGGCACACCUUUGGAAAUCCAGCACAGAAUCCUUCCAUGCCAUUUAACAAGGUGGUGCUCUUGCUAUCCGGAGACAUCAUCCAAAUAGCUGAGGGAUGUUCCCUUCACAUAUACCUUCCUGGAAUUCAGGAAAGAGAAAUUAUCUUUCCAUUUUCUAUCUGAACUCUGAAUGAUUCAUUUCCCAAGAUUUCUGUAUUUGCUUGUCUGAGCCACAGCAAAAAGAAAGGGAGAGCAAGCUGUCAGGGCAACAGCAAAAACUGCUCUUCACUAAAACUAGGGAAUGACUGAGAAAGGAAGUGCACAUGGAGCGUGCUGAGUAUGGCAACACUUUUUUCAAAAGUUCCCUGCUGAAGGCUUUUCAUCCUCUCUGUUUGUUGGCCUUGCUCUGAAGGUUAAAACCUGGCAGCAGCAGCAGCUAAAAUCUGUGCUGGACCAUCUUUGAGCACUCCAGAGCACAUCCCACCUCCUGCCCACACUUCAGGGGGGCACAGACCCUUCCUCAGCUGGUUCUGGGCUCUCUGGGAUUUAAUCAGGUGAGGAGAUUGUGGAAGCAGAGUGGUGUUUCUGCUGCCAGAGCUCACAGGUUUUGCAGUCUGAAACUACACCAAAAUAUAUUUUGGGUUCCAAGACAAAAGACAAGCUACUUGCAGAAUUGUCCAGCUUUACUUUGUCUCCUUCUUGAAGUGCUUCUAAGCUGAAUAUAAUGAAGAUCUAUUCUAAGAAUUCCUAAGGGAUCUCUUUACACAGGAUCUGGAACUGAUCCAUGGGUUUCAACACUUUAACCAAUGCACCGUCUAAUAUUGAUUUCCUUCAGAACUCAAAGCAAUUUGUUUUUCUUCCCUGGAGACUUUGGGUUUCUACCUUUGGCGGCAGUCCUUGAAUUAAUAUGGAAAUUGAGAACACUUAGGACUGGUCUCACAUGCAGGCACAACGUGCAGUCUCAUGGAGCCAGGUGUUCAUUUGGGCACUCAGGAUUCCUCAGUGUCCUCUGGCAGCUGCACAACUCACACAGCUCUUUCCUCACCCCGCUCUGAGCUCUUGUCAGAGGAGCAGAACACUAAGUGACUUAUUUCUGGUCUCUUUUUUUCUUCCUCCCUUUCUUUUGAUCACUCUUUCUCAUGCCACAGGAGAAAAGGCCAGCACAGUUCUCUGGAAAUUUUCUUGGACUGGUGAGGUAAUAAGGAGCUGAUUACAAGCCAGAAGGCAGCUCCAUGGAAAGCAGCCAUCUCUCCCAUCAUUAAUCCACAGUCACCCACAGGUGACUGUCUAGCAAGCCAAAAGUUUCAGAUUUACAGCUAAAGCCUAAUACCUUUCUGCUAAUCAGCAUUUCCAAGCUGCCAGUGAGUGUGAUCAUGGCCUGGGAGAGGCUUCCCUCCACCCCUUGGCACUCUCAGGGCAGAGUGGCUCUCACUUGCUUUGCACCACAGAGACCUGGAGGUGAAACACUGGGGAAUCAGAUGUCCCAUGAGGGUGUUCCAUGCUGGAAUUCCUGCUGUGAGCCUCAGUAUGGCAGAGGCCUGAGGAGCUUGUGCUGUGCACGUGUGGAUUGAAAGGAGCACAAAGGGACACACAGCACCACGAGAGCAUUGCAGCAGUUCAGGUCAUCAAAGUCCUCCUUUUCGAUGGCACGUGAUCUUGUGAAUUUGUCAUGGUGCCAGAGGAGCUGAAACAAUUCCUCUGGGACACAAAGAGACAAGUGCAGGCAGGAUGUAACCUGUUAGGAUCAUAUCCAGCCUCAUUUGAAGGGUAAGGCUCUUGGUGGUGUUAAAUGACAAUCUGUUCUGAAUUUAUCCUGCCCAUAUGUCAUCAGUAACAACCUACAAAACACACCUCUCAUUUUAGAUCCAAGUUUGCAUCUGUUCCAAGCAAAACAUGUGCCAUCUCCCUGUAUAAUCCUAGCAAGUCUAUAUUAGAUGACACAGGAGUAAGCUGAAACAGGAAAAAUUCAUUUUGGUAUUAUGGGAAAAUUAAUCACAAAUCUCAGUCAUUUUGACCUGGCUUGGCAUGAAUAUAAAAUCUCACAAGAGAAAUGCCUCAAAUGGUUCCAUGGCAUGUGCAGGGCUAUUGUAGCUCUGGUACUGUCCCUCAGCAGAAACACUCUGCUGCUUCAGCUGUGAUUUGUCCAUCUGUGUUUGGCUGCUGCAUCAUACAGGUAAAGAGCAUCUUUAAGAUAAGAAUCCAAGCUGUGAGCAAUUUAUCCCUGGAUACUGAGGUGCCAAUAGCUGAUAAGGUUUAUGAGAGGUUACAACUUCAAAGGAAUUGAUUUGCAAUUGUUUUCUAUUUUUAAAUAUGUAGCUGGACAUCCAGUAUGAUCUACAGAAGUAUCUGACAGGUUUACAGGCUUCAUUUACAUUGACUAAACCAAUGUUUAGGUGUUUCUAUAAAUCUUCCUGGCCAUUUGUCUUGAUCUCUAGGCAAGUGAGUGCUUUGGAAAGCUGAAAAAAAAUUAAGGCCUGAUUUUCAAAAUCUCACGUCUCAUGUGACAUCAAUGGUCAGAAAUGAAAAAUGCUCUUUUCUCAGCAUCCUGAACUCUUGCAAACUCUACCUAUUUGCUGUCAUAAUUUGAUAUCUAUUUUUUCACAAAUUUUGAAUUUGUAAUCUGAAAGAAGUCAAGCCAUAUUGCAUAGCAAUCUGCAAUCCCAGGAUAUAAACAUUAUAACACCAGUAUUUACCAUUAAAUGAGGAUUUUUUUACUGUUACAGUGAUGCAGUAAAGUAAAAUUCUGCUCUAAAUAAAUCUUGUUGGUGCUUUUUUUGUUUAGCCUACUAAUUUUCUAUAUCAAAUACACUCUCUUUACAUCUUAAAAUAUAUUUUAUAAAGACAGAAUCGUCAGGGAAAAAAUCAAACACCUUUUCAUAUGUUCUUGUCAAGAACAAAACUUCUGAAGGUUGGACUCUUCAGACUUCUAGACCAAUGCCACCCCUGUGCCUUCAGGGAGACCCUCAAAGGGAUGCAAUGAAAAUGUAGUGAUUCUUCUGUUGUACAAAGUAGUAAUAUAAACAAAUUUUCAUCCUCUUAGAUGUAUCAGUUCCAGGAGGAAUGGGAGAGCAAAAGUUUACUUGCAGAUCUAGGUGAGCAGCAAGGUGUUGAACAAGGAGGUGUCAUGAGAGCCCAUCAGAACAAGCCUUUCUUAAAGAGUUGAAAUAACUGUGUUUUAUUCAAUAUUCAGAAGAGAUUUGAAUUUCCAAAUAUUUUUCUAAGGGAUCUUGCUGCUGAGCUGGCACUGAAAUUCCAAGUUGCAGAACCAAGGAAGUGUUUUAAGAUCCAAUUACAAUGAAAAAAAGAAGGCUAAUUAUGUCCCACAGAAAUGCUGACACCAGCACAAACCCAGCCACGUUCCCAAGUACUGCCUUUGUUAAUAAUGUUCUUUUUUACACUUUUUGAGGUCAUGCAUGACGAAUUUUUUGCUGGCAUGAAUAUUAAUAUAUUUUAGAGUUUCCUUCUCUUUUCCCAUCAUCCCUUCUUCCUGUUAGCAUGUCAAUACGAAUCAAAAUCAGGCCAAAGUGAUCUUCAUGCUAAAACCUGAGCUGUGUCAUAAUUAAAAUGAUAUUGCUGAACUGUGCUGUGCUCUGAUAUAUUCUGCCAACUUACUGAGAGUGGCUGAAAUGUGCUGCACCAUUUCAUCCAUCUGCUCCCCAAACCACAAGCCUCCCUAGCAGGAGAGAUGGAGAGAUGCUACGAGCUCCCCCUUGUUUCACAAGGCUAUAGUUAGGGCUGCGAGCUCCUAUUUUUGGACACUUCAGCGACUACUGUGAGAGUUUGUGUGAUGAGGAAGGGAAAAUUCACAUCUUCCCAAAUUAGCAGCCCCCACGCACCCGUUUUCCUGCUCUUUGUCCCAUUUUGCACCAGCUGCCCCUGCGAGGGUACAAAGAAGGUGGCAGCUGAGUGUAGCCAGUGUGACAUGCUGAAGGAUCUAAAUGGCUCCUCACAGGAGCUUCAGGGUGCCUAAGAGCAUUAGGGCUACAGUCUGGCCUGCAAUUUAUUUUGUCUGUUUUGCCAGAAUUUCAUUGGUUCUCUGGUGUUUCUCUAAAACUAGGAUCGAUACUUUAAAACCAGACAGUGCGGUCAGAAAUAUUUUUGGGACAACUUCAUAAUUCAAUAGAAAGUAAGGAAAUACUCAGGAAGUUUAAAAAUCCCUAAUUUCUUAUAUUCAAACGCCAAGUUUAUAUUUUAAUUUCACAGUAAUUUGAGUUCAUUUUAAUGAGAUUCCAGGAUAUUUUAAAAAUCAGUAAGGACCUAGAAAUGGCUUCUUAUUAGAUGAUAAGCACAUAUUAAUAUUACUUGAUCCAGUAUAAGAUUUCCCAAUUCAAAAUAACCCAAAUGCAAUUUAAGCUCAAUUAUACAUGAAAAUUACUCAAAGAAUGUAGAGUUUAAAAUUUUUCAAUAAAUUAUGUACAAAAUUGAGCCAUUCCGCGACGUUGUCACAAAUGCAACAUGUCAAGGACACCAUGUUAAGAAAAAUUGUGGGUGAAUAUAGAAAACACAAAGUAUAAUUAAUUCCAGCUGCUUUUAGGCUCACAUUUUUUCUGCCUGAUUAAAAUUUAACUAAAAUAAAUUAAAAAUAACAGGAAAAAAAUUGCUCAGCAACCUGAAACCUCUUCCUAAGCUUUGUGCACUUGCUGAAGUUUUCUUCCUGUAGUUGUGUUGACUUCAAAUAGAUCAGAGCUGUAAUUUUUCUGGUGGAUAAAUGGCAGAUAAAUGGAAUUUUUGUGAUGCUAUGAGUAAGAAAAGGUGGAGAAUAGACCGAGAGAUUUUGUGUUCCUGGUAGAGCACCCAACACUCGGGGGGAUGCCC
Molecule: long non-coding RNA, 5607 nt
Organism: Passer domesticus (house sparrow)
Lineage: Eukaryota; Metazoa; Chordata; Aves; Passeriformes; Passeridae
Exons: 8
Source: RefSeq, a predicted model, not a curated record